RNAcentral lists this ribosomal RNA (492 nucleotides) under uncultured bacterium. Its description in RNAcentral is "partial 16S ribosomal RNA". It matches the Rfam family "Bacterial small subunit ribosomal RNA", at positions 29 to 507 of the family's 1533-position model. The record is from RNAcentral.
AGUGAACGCUGGCGGUAGGCCUAACACAUGCAAGUCGAACGGCAGCACAGUAAGAGCUUGCUCUUACGGGUGGCGAGUGGCGGACGGGUGAGGAAUACAUCGGAAUCUACUUUUUCGUGGGGGAUAACGUAGGGAAACUUACGCUAAUACCGCAUCCGACCUACGGGUGAAAGCAGGGGAUCUUCGCACCUUGCGCGAUUGAAUGAGCCGCUGUCGGAUUAGCUAGUUGGCGGGGUAAAGGCCCACCAAGGCGACGACCCGUAGCUGGUCUGAGAGGAUGAUCAGCCACACUGGAACUGAGACACGGUCCAGACUCCUACGGGAGGCAGCAGUGGGGAAUAUUGGACAAUGGGCGCAAGCCUGAUCCAGCCAUACCGCGUGGGUGAAGAAGGCCUUCGGGUUGUAAAGCCCUUUUGUUGGGAAAGAAAAGCAGCAGGUUAAUACCCCGCUGUUCUGACGGUACCCAAAGAAUAAGCACCGGCUAACUUCGUG